UGGGGAAUAUUGCACAAUGGGCGCAAGCCUGAUGCAGCCAUGCCGCGUGUGUGAAGAAGGCCUUCGGGUGUAAAAGCACUUUCAGCGGGGAGGCGUUACCCGCAGAAGAAGCACCGGCUAACUCCGUGCCAGCAGCCGCGGUAAUACGGAGGGUGCAAGCGUUAAUCGGAAUUACUGGGCGUAAAGCGCACGCAGGCGGUCUGUCAAGUCGGAUGUGAAAUCCCGGGCUCAACCUGGGAACUGCAUUCGAAACUGGCAGGCUAGAGUCUUGUAGAGGGGGGUAGAAUUCCAGGUGUAGCGGUGAAAUGCGUAGAGAUCUGGAGGAAUACCGGUGGCGAAGGCGGCCCCCUGGACAAAGACUGACGCUCAGGUGCGAAAGCGUGGGGAGCAAACAGGAUUAGAUA
This 404-nucleotide ribosomal RNA is filed under the name uncultured bacterium. Its description in RNAcentral is "bacterial SSU rRNA". It matches the Rfam family "Bacterial small subunit ribosomal RNA", at positions 355 to 784 of the family's 1533-position model. The record is from RNAcentral.